This 519-nucleotide long non-coding RNA is filed under the name Erythranthe guttata (spotted monkey flower). RNAcentral describes it as "long non-coding RNA (EGUT_LNC001648)". Lineage: Eukaryota; Viridiplantae; Streptophyta; Magnoliopsida; Lamiales; Phrymaceae. The record is from RNAcentral.
UGAGUUUAAUUUUAGGAGUCAACUUGUACAUAAAACGCGAUUGUUGUGGCAAGAAAUAUAAAAAAAAAAAACUCGAAACUUGUUCCUGGUGGUGGUGCGACAAAACUGACUGUUCAUCCAUUUAAGGCAUAGAAAAGGUAAUGAAUUUUAAUGUGCUUCUUAAUAUAUUGAAUCACUGUUUAUUGAUCCUCAAAUGAUUUGUUUACUUUUUUUUUUAUACUUGGGAGUAUAUGUAGAUUCGUGAUGAGAAUAUUUUGUUGGUAAUAUGAUAUUGAUAUUUUAUUUAUCGAGAAUGAAAUAGGUGACUACUUUAUGUGUGUUUCAACUAUUAUUUUAUCGAUGGUGUUCCACUUCAACUUGCUUUGAUCUUUGACCUUUGGUUAUACGAAGAAUAAUGACUAGCAUACUUUGUUUGUAAUUUGAUUUUGAUAAUAUAAGCUGUCUCGUAUCGCCUGGAGAACAAAGUCAGGUACUUGAAGGGACAAAUAAAGUCACAUACAUGUAUAUAGUCACAUGUGG